AGAGUUUGAUCAUGGCUCAGGACGAACGCUGGCGGCGCGCCUAACACAUGCAAGUCGAGCGAGAAGCGGGACUUCGGUCCCGUGGAGAGCGGCGAACGGGUGCGUAACACGUGAGCAACCUGCCCCGAAGACCGGGACAACCGAUGGAAACGUCGGCUAAUACCGGAUGCCCUCACCGGAUCGCAUGGUCUGGUGAGGAAAUGGAUUCCGCUUCGGGAUGGGCUCGCGGUCUAUCAGCUUGUUGGUGGGGUAAUGGCCCACCAAGGCGACGACGGAUAGCUGGUCUGAGAGGACGAUCAGCCACACUGGGACUGAGACACGGCCCAGACUCCUACGGGAGGCAGCAGUGGGGAAUCUUGCGCAAUGGGGGAAACCCUGACGCAGCGACGCCGCGUGCGGGAUGAAGGCCUUCGGGUUGUAAACCGCUUUCAGCAGGGACGAAAUUGACGGUACCUGCAGAAGAAGGCCCGGCCAACUACGUGCCAGCAGCCGCGGUAAUACGUAGGGGCCUAGCGUUGUCCGGAUUUAUUGGGCGUAAAGAGCUCGUAGGCGGUUCGGCAAGUCGGAUGUGAAAUCUCCACGCUUAACGUGGAGGGGCCAUUCGAAACUGCCGUGACUCGAGUCCGGUAGGGGAGUGUGGAAUUCCCGGUGUAGCGGUGAAAUGCGCAGAUAUCGGGAGGAACACCAGUAGCGAAGGCGGCACUCUGGGCCGGUACUGACGCUGAGGAGCGAAAGCGUGGGGAGCGAACAGGAUUAGAUACCCUGGUAGUCCACGCCGUAAACGUUGGGCACUAGGUGUGGGACUCUAUCGACGGGUUCCGUGCCGUAGCUAACGCAUUAAGUGCCCCGCCUGGGGAGUACGGCCGCAAGGCUAAACUCAAGGAAUUGACGG
RNAcentral lists this ribosomal RNA (892 nucleotides) under uncultured bacterium. Its description in RNAcentral is "bacterial SSU rRNA". It matches the Rfam family "Bacterial small subunit ribosomal RNA", at positions 8 to 916 of the family's 1533-position model. The record is from RNAcentral.